This 396-nucleotide ribosomal RNA is filed under the name uncultured bacterium. Its description in RNAcentral is "partial 16S ribosomal RNA". It matches the Rfam family "Bacterial small subunit ribosomal RNA", at positions 523 to 918 of the family's 1533-position model. The record is from RNAcentral.
AUACGUAGGGAGCGAGCGUUGUCCGGAAUUACUGGGUGUAAAGGGUGCGUAGGCGGGGAUGCAAGUCAGAUGUGAAAUGUAUGGGCUCAAACCAUGAACUGCAUUUGAAACUGCAACUCUUGAGUGAGGUAGAGGUAAGCGGAAUUCCUAGUGUAGCGGUGAAAUGCGUAGAUAUUAGGAGGAACAUCGGUGGCGAAGGCGGCUUACUGGGCCUUUACUGACGCUGAGGCACGAAAGCAUGGGGAGCAAACAGGAUUAGAUACCCUGGUAGUCCACGCUGUAAACGAUGAUGACUAGGUGUGGGGGGACUGAACCCUUCCGUGCCGCAGUUAACACAAUAAGUCAUCCACCUGGGGAGUACGGCCGCAAGGUUGAAACUCAAAUGAAUUGACGGGG